UCGGUCGGUCCGUCCACCAGGUGGUUUCAGGAUGAUAACUCAAGAACGCUUGGGGCUAGGAUCAUGAAACUUCAUAGGUACAUUGAUCAUGACUCGCAGAUGACCCCUAUUGAUUUUGAGGUCACUAGGUCAAAGGUCAAGGUCACAGGUGAAGGUCACAGUUACUGGAAAUAGGCAUUAUAAGGGUUUAGCAUGGUUCAAACAAGGGAAACAACUAUGGUUUAUGCAUGUUCUUUUUAUGCCCCCCUUCGAAGAAGAGGGGGUAUAUUGAUUUGCUCAUGUCGGUCGGUCGGUCGGUCUGUCGGUCUGUCUGUCAUUCCGUCCAUAAGGUGGUUGUCAGACGAUAACUCAAGAACGCUUGGGCCUAGGAUCAUGAAACUUCAUAGGUACAUUGAUCAUGACUUGCAGAUGACCCCUAUUGAUUUUGAGGUCACUAGGUCUAAGGUCAAGGUCACGGUGACCCGAAAUAGUAAAAUGGUUUCCGGAUGAUAACUCAAGAACACAUACGCCUAGGAUCAUGAAACUUCAUGGGUAGAUUGAUCAUGACUCGCAGAUGACCCCUAUUGAUUUUGAGGUCACUAGGUCAAAGGUCAAGGUCACGGUGACCCGAAAUAGUAAAAUGGUUUUCGGAUGAUAACUCAAGAACGCAUACGCCUAGGAUCAUGAAACUUCAUAGGUAGAUUGAUCAUGACUUGCAGAUAACCCCUAUUGAUUUUGAGGUCACAAGGUCAAAGGUCAAGGUCACGGUGACCCAAAAUAGUAAAAUGAUUUUCGGAUGAUAACUCAAGAACGCUUUUGCCUAGGAUCAUGACACUUCAUAGGUACAUAGAUCGUGACC
Molecule: long non-coding RNA, 838 nt
Organism: Dreissena polymorpha
Lineage: Eukaryota; Metazoa; Mollusca; Bivalvia; Myida; Dreissenidae
Exons: 2
Source: RefSeq, a predicted model, not a curated record